This 73-nucleotide transfer RNA is filed under the name Ixodes scapularis (black-legged tick). It matches the Rfam family "tRNA". From Rfam's summary of the family: Transfer RNA (tRNA) molecules are approximately 80 nucleotides in length. Their secondary structure includes four short double-helical elements and three loops (D, anti-codon, and T loops). The record is from Rfam by way of RNAcentral. Lineage: Eukaryota; Metazoa; Arthropoda; Arachnida; Ixodida; Ixodidae.
CCCUGGAUAGCUCAAUUGGUAGAGCGCUCCACCUGUAAUGGAGAGGUCCCAGGUUCGAUACCCGGACCAGGUG